This is a long non-coding RNA of Podarcis raffonei (Aeolian wall lizard), 269 nucleotides long. RefSeq lists it as uncharacterized. The transcript has 2 exons. NCBI's taxonomy places the organism in Eukaryota, Metazoa, Chordata, Lepidosauria, Squamata, Lacertidae. The record is from RefSeq and is a predicted model, not a curated record.
CUUUUCCUCUGCGGAGGCUGAUCAGCUGCAGGUGGAAUCACUCACCUUCUCCCCCUUCAGGCUGCUGUUCAGCAGGUGGAAAGAACAGCAACAGGACACUGAGCUGAAAAGCAAAUGAUAUCAGCCUGGAACAUGAAAUUAAGUGUUGUAAUUUAGGGCACUACUAGACAGUAGUAGUUCUAUGUAUUGUGUGGCAAGAGGUCUCCCCUACCCUUCGGUCCUUCCCAAUACCAAGAAUAAGAGGCAUGAUAACAAAUAUUUGGGUGAAA